RNAcentral lists this ribosomal RNA (542 nucleotides) under uncultured delta proteobacterium. RNAcentral describes it as "bacterial SSU rRNA". It matches the Rfam family "Bacterial small subunit ribosomal RNA", at positions 1 to 523 of the family's 1533-position model. Lineage: Bacteria; Deltaproteobacteria. The record is from RNAcentral.
UCGACUAGAGUUGAUCCUGGCUCAGAAACGAACGCUGGCGGCGUGCCUAACACAUGCAAGUCGAACGCGAAAAGCAGUAAUGCUGAGUAGAGUGGCGCACGGGGUGAGUAACACGUAACUGACAUGUCCUAAAGACAAGGAUAACCGUUCGAAAGGAUGGCUAAUACUUGGUAAGCCCACGGGCUUGGGUUUUGAGGGAAAAGGAUCGGGAUUUUUCGAGACCGGUCGCUUUAGGAGUGGGUUGCGGCCCAUCAGCUAGUUGGCGGGGUAAAAGCCCACCAAGGCUAAGACGGGUAGCUGGUCUGAGAGGAUGAUCAGCCACACUGGAACUGAGACACGGUCCAGACUCCUACGGGAGGCAGCAGUGGGGAAUCUUGCGCAAUGGCAGAAAUGCUGACGCAGCAACGCCGCGUGGGUGAUGAAGGUCUUCGGAUCGUAAAGCCCUGUCGAAGGGGAAGAUGCUUGUGCAUGUUAAUAGUAUGCAUAGGUGACGGUACCCUUAAAGGAAGCACCGGCUAACUCUGUGCCAGCAGCCGCGGUAA